Molecule: ribosomal RNA, 442 nt
Filed under: uncultured bacterium
Lineage: Bacteria
Description: SSU rRNA
Rfam family: Bacterial small subunit ribosomal RNA
Source: RNAcentral
AGAACGAACGCUGGCGGCAGGCCUCAAACAUGCAAGUCUAGGGGAUAGCAAUAUCACCGGCGGACGGGUGCGUAACGCGUGGGAAUGUACCUAUUGGUUCGGAACAACACAGGGAAACUUGUGCUAAUACCGAAUGUGCCCGUAAGGGGAAAGAUUUAUCGCCAAUAGAUCAGCCCGCGUUCGAUUAGCUAGUUGGUGAGGUAAUGGCUCACCAAGGCGACGAUCGAUAGCUGUUCUGAGAGGAAGAUCAGCCACACUGGGACUGAGACACGGCCCAGACUCCUACGGGAGGCAGCAGUUGGAAUCUUGGACAAUGGGGGAAACCCUGAUCCAGCCAUGCCGCGUGAGUGAUGAAGGCCUUGGGUUGUAAAACUCUUUCGCGCACGACGAUAAUGACGGUAGUGCGAGAAGAAGCUCCGGCUAACUUCGUGCCAGCAGCCGC